GGAUGGGUCUGCGGCCGAUUAGGUAGUUGGUUAGGUAAUGGCUUACCAAGCCUUUGAUCGGUACGGGUUGUGAGAGCAAGAGCCCGGAGAUGGAACCUGAGACAAGGUUCCAGGCCCUACGGGGUGCAGCAGGCGCGAAACCUCCGCAAUGUGAGAAAUCGCGACGGGGGGAUCCCAAGUGCCAUUCUUAACGGGAUGGCUUUUCUUUAGUGUAAAAAGCUUUUGGAAUAAGAGCUGGGCAAGACCGGUGCCAGCCGCCGCGGUAACACCGGCAGCUCUAGUGGUAGCAAUUUUUAUUGGGCCUAAAGCGUCCGUAGCCGGUUUAAUAAGUCUCUGGUGAAAUCCUGUAGCUUAACUGUGGGAAUUGCUGGAGAUACUAUUAGACUUGAGACCGGGAGAGGUUAGAGGUACUCCCAGGGUAGAGGUGAAAUUCUGUAAUCCUGGGAGGACCGCCUGUUGCGAAGGCGUCCAACUGGAACGGUUCUGACGGUGAGGGACGAAAGUUAGGGGCGCGAACCGGAUUAGAUACCCGGGUAGUCCUAACUGUAAACGAUGCGGACUUGGUGUUGGGGUGGCUUUGAGCUGCUUCAGUGCCGAAGGGAAGCUGUUAAGUCCGCCGCCUGGGAAGUACUGUCGCAAGACUGAAACUUAAAGGAAUUGGCGGGGGAGCAC
RNAcentral lists this ribosomal RNA (672 nucleotides) under uncultured archaeon. RNAcentral describes it as "bacterial SSU rRNA". It matches the Rfam family "Archaeal small subunit ribosomal RNA", at positions 207 to 879 of the family's 1478-position model. The record is from RNAcentral.